Molecule: ribosomal RNA, 433 nt
Filed under: uncultured bacterium
Lineage: Bacteria
Description: partial 16S ribosomal RNA
Rfam family: Bacterial small subunit ribosomal RNA
Source: RNAcentral
AACGAACGCUGGCGGCAUGCCUAACACAUGCAAGUCGAACGAGACCUUCGGGUCUAGUGGCGCACGGGUGCGUAACGCGUGGGAACCUGCCUUUAGGUUCGGAAUAACCCAGAGAACUUUGAGCUACUACCGGACGAUGUCUUCGGACCAAAGAUUUAUCGCCUUUCGAUGGGCCCGCGUUGGAUUAGCUAGUUGGUGGGGUAAAGGCCUACCAAGGUGACGAUCCAUAGCUGGUCUGAGAGGAUGAUCAGCCACACUGGGACUGAGACACGGCCCAGACUCCUACGGGAGGCAGCAGUGGGGAAUAGUAGACAAUGGGCGAAAGCCUGAUCCAGCAAUGCCGCGUGAGUGAUGAAGGCCUUAGGGUUGUAAAGCUCUUUUGCCCGAGAUGAUAAUGACAGUAGCGGGAGAAUAAGCUCCGGCUGACUCCGUG